Molecule: transfer RNA, 66 nt
Filed under: Lampsilis powellii
Lineage: Eukaryota; Metazoa; Mollusca; Bivalvia; Unionida; Unionidae
Description: tRNA-Ile
Source: RNAcentral
AGUGUCACGCCAGCAUGAAAGGGUUACCUUGAUGAAGUAAAAUAUAAGAAUUUUUCUUUGACACUC